UUUGCCUCCGCAUGUGUUCAAUCCAUUUCUCAGUAUGUCAUCUCUGUGGACAAAGGCAGGGAGUCAGGCUUUAUACUCCAGAAUAGCCAGGAAAAGUGAACAGAGGGAGAAAGAAAGUCCGCAGGAGUCCUCUCUGGAUGAAGGGGUUCUUCACUGUGAAAUUACAGCCACAUGGAAACAGAAAGAAGUGUCAAGCAUACUCUGCAACUGCAUAAUCAGCAACCAGAAGUGAUGAACUCUUCGGACAAAAUCCACCUCUGUCUGACAAACUCACAUCUGUGACAUGGCUCAGUUGGUGAUAUUUGCGCAAAUGGUGUUUGAAGGCAGGAUUGCAGAAGAAAAUAUUUUCAUAACAUUAAUGCUGGAAGACCCAGAGGAUAAGAAGUUCAAGCAGUAUUUUGCUCAUAAGAACGGAGCAAGAGCGAGACCAGUUUCUGUGGCAGAUGAAGGGCUGCUGUUGGAUCUAAAAACUUUGUGGCUCAUAGAUAUCAGCCAGCACCCGGAGGAAAAGCAAGAGACAUGACACAUUAUGGUAAUGCUAAAUCUGUAGAUGCUUUCCAGUCACAGGCCUUCAGUGCAGUCUUUUUAAAGUCCUGCCUGUUGAAAAUUAUGUACCAUGAGAAGCUCUGACUUCGUGUGUUAUGAUGAGAUGACUGAGCAAAGCUACAGUUUUACUGAGGCAUAGAGAUUGGAGCUUCCAUGCUGACUAACUGGUGAAGGCUUAAGAACAGAUAAAACUGAGGUAAUGUUGGAAUGGGUUGGAAGAAGGAACUAGAAGAGUUAGGAAGGUUACAUCACUGCAUCAGACAGAAGAGUGUUUCCACCAUUUGUGAUUUCGGUUCAUAAUGUGGGAAAUGUAUUUGAUCAUUGGCCAAUCCUGGAUGUUAACAAAGGAGCUCUGGCCUGGAGUGCUUUUUGAAAUCAUCCGCACCUGAAAAGAAAAAUUGGGAUUCUUUUAUCAGAUAUGUCCCUUGCCACAGUUAGCCAUACAUUAGCCACUUUGAGACUAGGCUUCUACUAGUAUUAACUGAACAAUACUGAGAAUCCAGAAUCUUAAUUUAAUUCAGAAUGUGGCUGCUCAUUAAUUAAAGAGGGAUCUAUGUGAAGGGCUCUAAUAUGAACUGUCUGCUUAUUCAUUUCUUGGUAAAGUGUAAGAUAUUGGUUAUAAUUUAUAAAACAUUAAAGGAUUUAGGAUUUGUCUACUUGACAUUUGAAAGUUCCUCUCACUCCAUCUGACAGAGUCAUAACAAUUUGUCCCUUGUUAACAAUUCCCUAGUUAAAAAGGAAAAGAGAAGACGAGUGCUGCAAAGCACACAUAUUUAGAAUGGUUUAUGUUUUGGUAACUGUACAUUAGUUGCUAUAAGAAGGCUAUGGCAGUAUACGGGGGUAGGUUCAUCAAGCAAAAUAAAUAUGAAAAAUAUCUUGCUAAUUAAAUGACAGGUACAGCUAAGGAGUAUAUUGCAAGUAAAGCUGGGCAAAUUGUUUAUAUUAAUAAUAUUAACUAGCACUGCUUGGAAGAUGUGGGGUUUUUUUUGGUUUGUUUCUGCUCCUAAAAAAAGAUAAAACAUUCUCUGCCAAAA
This is a non-coding RNA of Pelodiscus sinensis (Chinese soft-shelled turtle), 1580 nucleotides long. The record is from RefSeq and is a predicted model, not a curated record. Lineage: Eukaryota; Metazoa; Chordata; Testudines; Trionychidae.